This 360-nucleotide ribosomal RNA is filed under the name Terrisswalkerius erici. RNAcentral's name for it is "partial 12S ribosomal RNA". Lineage: Eukaryota; Metazoa; Annelida; Clitellata; Crassiclitellata; Megascolecidae. The record is from RNAcentral.
AAUAAGUCGAAUAUUACGAACCACAGUUUAAAAUUCCAAGAUCUUGGCGGUGUCUUAUAAAACCAGGGGAACCUGUCUCAUAACUCGAUAGUCCACGACUUCCCAACCUCUUUUAGAAACUCAGCUUGUGUACUGCCGUUGUAAGCACACCUCUAAAAGAACAAGUGUGCUACUAUGAUUAAUAAUAACCCAACCUUCACACACAUCAGGUCAAAGUGCAGCCAAUAAAGAGGAGAUGAUGGGUUACAACCCACAAAAAGAAACGAACUAAGUAAUAAAAAACCUAUAGGGGGACUUGGCUGUAAUUAACUACUCUCAUUAACAAAUGAAUAACAAUCUAAGACAUGCACACAUCGCCCG